CAGCGCCGCGGUAAUACGAAGGGUGCAAGCGUUACUCGGAAUUACUGGGCGUAAAGCGUGCGUAGGUGGUGGUUUAAGUCCGUUGUGAAAGCCCUGGGCUCAACCUGGGAAUUGCAGUGGAUACUGGGUCACUAGAGUGUGGUAGAGGAUAGUGGAAUUUCCGGUGUAGCAGUGAAAUGCGUAGAGAUCGGAAGGAACAUCUGUGGCGAAGGCGACUAUCUGGGCCAACACUGACACUGAGGCACGAAAGCGUGGGGAGCAAACAGGAUUAGAUACCCCAGUAGUCCCUGUCUCUUAUACA
RNAcentral lists this ribosomal RNA (301 nucleotides) under uncultured bacterium. Its description in RNAcentral is "partial 16S ribosomal RNA". It matches the Rfam family "Bacterial small subunit ribosomal RNA", at positions 509 to 808 of the family's 1533-position model. The record is from RNAcentral.